AGUGAACGCUGGCGGUAGGCCUAACACAUGUAAGUCGAACGGCAGCACAGUAAGAGCCUGCUCUUACGGGUGGCGAGUGGCGGACGGGUGAGGAAUACAUCGGAAUCUACUUUUUCGUGGGGGAUAACGUAGGGAAACUUACGCUAAUACCGCAUACGACCUACGGGUGAAAGCAGGGGAUCUUCGGACCUUGCGCGAUUGAAUGAGCCGAUGUCGGAUUAGCUAGUUGGCGGGGUAAAGGCCCACCAAGGCGACGAUCCGUAGCUGGUCUGAGAGGAUGAUCAGCCACACUGGAACUGAGACACGGUCCAGACUCCUACGGGAGGCAGCAGUGGGGAAUAUUGGACAAUGGGCGCAAGCCUGAUCCAGCCAUACCGCGUGGGUGAAGAAGGCCUUCGGGUUGUAAAGCCCUUUUGUUGGGAAAGAAAAGCAGCAGGUUAAUACCCCGCUGUUCUGACGGUACCCAAAGAAUAAGCACCGGCUAACUUCGUG
Molecule: ribosomal RNA, 492 nt
Filed under: uncultured bacterium
Lineage: Bacteria
Description: partial 16S ribosomal RNA
Rfam family: Bacterial small subunit ribosomal RNA
Source: RNAcentral